CUCAGACUCAUGAACGGCGAGAUCAUGACCUGAGCCAAAGUCCAAUGCUUAACCAACUGAGCCACUCUGGUGCCCUGUGACUUUUAUAUUUCCAAUCUUUCUCUCACUGUUCCUGCUGUUCUCCCUAGGUAAGCAAACCACCUCGUCCUGCACACGUUUCACAAAUUUCUUCCAUUCCUCUCUACCUGACAUACUUCUUUGAUUGUUCCUUCAUCUCAAAUGCUUUCUUCUUCAUGCCUUGAACUUAGAGUCAACAGAACAAUAAUUGAGUUCCCAUUUGAAUACAUUUUUGCUUGGGUAAAUUAUUAACCUCUUUGAGUGUUGGUUUCUUCACCUCUAUGAGGGGCUGUUUAGGUCUUAGGUCAAAUGAGAUAUUGCAUUUUAAAGCUUUAGAAAAUUCUCUCUAUGGUACUCACUUAUAAAGGAGUCUACCCACAAAGACACCAUGCUCCUUUUAUUCUAUGAACUUUGCUGUGGAAGGUUCUUGAUACUUUUUUUGUGUCAGCUGUUUACUAUUUAUCAUAAGUACACUUGAAGUAUGAGGCAGCACUAACUUUGGGCAAACCAUCUUAAGUAGACUGUAAGCUUCCCAAAGGCAUGCCCACUGUGUAACCAUCUUCCAUAGUGGCUAAUAUAGGCGGUCUUCCAUGGAGGUUUGUAAAUUAACUUAUUUAUCAAUGACAACGUGUAUCUGAGGAAGGAAAGAGAGUUUCAGGCCUAGAUGAUUACAGUUAAAAAAUCCAGGUAAGUUUAGGUUUAUGGUUGAAACAGAAACUUAGAAGCUAAUGAUGAUAUAUAAUGCACAGUGAUCAAAAAAAUCACUGGACAAGGGAACUUUUUAUGGAAUCAAGGGACCUCUCAUCCAAAUAUAUGUAAAAAAUAAAUGGUUGUAGUAACCAGUACAUUAGCCAAGAAGUUCCAGAAAGUCAUCUCCCAGUUAUUUGCUUUCUUCACUUUUUAUUAAGUUAAAGUCAAGUAAAAUAUACCUUUCAAAACAUUUUCAAUUUCCUUAGAAACUUUGAGUAUUAUAUACUCUUUUCUCAAGAAUAAAAUAUUUAAUUAGGAUAUCUGAUUGGAGCUAUGUGUCAAAAUGAUUAGAGUCAGUAGGUUAAUUAUAAAAGGCAAUGUUAUUAAGAAUUAUUAUUUGUUAUGUUCUUAGUGGCUGGAGUUUAUUUUUUUAAGUGUAUUCCAUUAUGCCCCACGGGUAUUUAUAGACCAAACUUCUUAGCAAGUCUGGCUUUCAUGAUUUCACUCCAUGCACUCGGCUUGUACAAGUGGCUAUUGAACACCAGCCAGGAUGAUUCACUUUUUAUCAUACGAUGGAGCUUACUUUCAAUAUGGUUCUAUCUUGAGAUAUCUGUUUUCUGCUACUAGUUAAAUACCAGUGACAUAUAAGGUAGUAAGCAUUCAUUGAACACUUUAAAAUACGUAGUUCGGGACUUUAAUCAGAAAGUUGGGAUCAUGAUGAAAACAUAAACGUGGACCAUAUCACUCCUUUACCUCCCACUGGAAACUCUGAAACAGAUAGGAGGGAGAAAAAGAAAUUGUGGAAGACCUAGAGGAAUGUCCAAUUAGCCUGCUUAUUUCUACUAUAGUUGUAAUUGAUCUCUUUUGAAAACAAUCCAUGGUUUAUGUGUGUCUCUCAACUGAAACUUAGAAGAUGAGAAAAGAUAGGAUAUUUGGAAUGUCAUAUACAGGGAAGCAUUUCUGUCAAACACAUUAUUGAACCUGGAAAAAAAUGAAAUUGAAACAAAGAACACCUGCUACUUUAACUCAUUUAAAAAAAACCAUAAUAUUCUUUACUUGCUGACUGGAAAUAUUGUAUUUUCAGAGAAGAGAAAGUGCUAAUCUAAAUGGGAGAAAAAUGUAAUGAUUCACUAUGCAAUGAUAUGAAAUAAGAAAUAUUUUAAAUUGGGUAUUUUAGUUUGUGGAGGGGUAGGCAUUUUGUAUAGAAAUGGUUUUGCUCAUCAGGUGGUGAAUAUUUCUCACAAAUUGCAGUAAAGAGAAUAAAAUCGGCUUGUCACUAAAGAUUUUUUUUUUAUUGACAUCUUUAGCUUGUCUUCAUGCCAGUAAUUAAAUUGCUAAUUAUGUGUUUCUGUUACUGUGGUCAUGCCUUUAUUACAUAAUUGCUUCAAGUUUUGCUCAAAUCACUAACAAUAUUUACUUAACCUUUUUGUGCAUUAGAUAAAUUUUAAUAUAUAAAAGCUUUGGAACGAGUUCAUUGACUCUGUUUUGAUUAGCAAAAUCAAAGGAAUUCUAACCUUUCUUAUAGUUACAUGGGUUGGGUCAUAUUUUCAAUGAGAUUGCUGAUAAUUAUUAAUUCAAGCAAUAGCAAUCAUUGAAAGACCAAUUUAAAUGGAAGAGAAAAAACACAAAGAAAACUUUUCAAAACCCCAGUGCCCAUUCUAGAAAAAUAAAAUGAUCUUUCUUGAGGUAAUUGGAAAUACAAAAUUAAUAAUUUGAUCCUUACUAUGUGCUCAUAUUUUUCCAAGAAAAUAUUUGACUAAAUUGUGGGUAAUUCAGAUACCAAGCUUCCCCUCCCCUUUUGAAUGUAGGUAUAAUUUUUGACAGUGUUUCAAUGUAUUCAGGAUUUUUUUCUCAUUUGUUUAUUUUAUGCAAACCAUAGGAGACAUUUUUCUCACUGAAGAUUGCCUCUUUAUUUUAUUUUGAAAUAUUUGUAUAUUUGUUUCAUUAAAUGAGAUAAUGCUUUUUCUUAUUAACAUAAUUUCCAGUACAUUAAACAUAUUUCUCCACAGACAGAAGAGAGGAAUCAAAUUAAAUGACAGCUAAAUCACUUGCAGCAAUUUCAACUGUUAAAAGAAAUAAGUGUCUCUGUUUUCUUUGUGAUCACAAGAUGUGCUGUAAAGGGAAAUGAAAUGCUAAAGAAAGAAGGGAAAACAUAAAGAAAUAAUGACUGACUUAUUGCAGUAAUACCAUGGAGAGAAGAAAAAUUCACUACAAAUAAAAGGAAAAGUAAUAUAGUGGAUUUGAAAGUUACCAAAAUUCAUUUCUUAUUGAUGAGUUCAGUGGAAGCCUAAUACUAAGUAAACUGAUGAAAAAAAAAAUCAAUGCAAUAAACUAUGAAUGAUGAAAGUUGAAAUAAAUACUUUGCGUAUGGAGGACCAUUAUUCUAAAUGUCUUUAAUUUUUUAAUAAUUCAUGUCUUUAUGUUUAUAAAAAAGGAGGAAUUAUUGCUUGGUAGACUUGAAAUGCAUGUAAAAAGCAUCUACUAGAAGCCCAUAUUUAGUAAUAAGUCCAAUGAUAUUGGCGACCUUAUGAUUUUACUAUCAUAUUCUGACUUUGACAAAAGUACGUUGGGGGGAGGUGAACCUGACUUUUAAAAAUGGUGCUGACAAAUGAUCCUGGUGCAUAUUUUACUCUGUCACAGAUAAACUACUUUCCAAAAAGACAAUUAAUUUUUGGACCAUGGAAAGAACACAACUCAGAAUAUGUAUGUAUAUUUGUAUAUAGUAUAUGCUUAUGAAUAUCCUGGGGGACAGCAGUAGCAGUUUUGGCAAAAUUCAGCACUGCCACACACAUGCGUAUGCAUACAUAUCUAUAUCUAUAUCUGUAUCUAUCUCUAUAUAUCUAUAUCUAUAUCAUCUAUAUCUAUAUCUAUCUAAUCUAUCAAUAUCUAUCUAUCUAUCUAUCUAUCUAUCUAUCUAUCUAUAUCUAUAUGUGUGUGUGUAUUUUUUUUAUGCUGGUAAGGUUGUUAAUUUGUUCAAAUCAAGCAUACAGCCCACCUGGUUCUCUGUAUUUGUAGGUGGGCUUAUGCAUUCAUUUUCUCUCUUCACACAUCAUUAAAAAAUAACUAGUUAAUUUAAUCAGUUCAAUCAGAAGGCAGUCAAUUCAGUAUGGGAAAAAAAAGUCACUUGAGUCACUUUUACUGAAUUGAAUCUGUCUGCAUUAACCUAAUACAGUUGAUCUUGAAACCCUCGUUACUCAAAUUUUUGUCUCUCUCCCUUUCAUGUCCUCCAGUCAGUUUGUACCCCAACCCUUCACCCUCUAUCUUUCCCUUUGCCCUGCCACCCCUCCCUUUUGGCUUCUUUUCUCCUUUCCUCCAACAUGUUGGGAGACCUUAUCCAUCUGCUCCCUCUUCCUGUUCACCCUCCUCUUUCCCCCUCCACCACCACACACAGUUUCCUCUGCCCCACUGGAAAAAAACAAAAAACAAAAAAACCACCUAAAGCUGGUCCUUCCUUCCUGCCUUCCUUCCUUUCCUCCAUCCUUUCUUUCUUUCCUUCUUUUCUUUCUUUUUCUUUCUCUUUCUUUCUUUCUUUCUUUCUUUCUUUCUUCUUUCUUUCAUUACAGAGAUUUUGAAACUAUUGCUUUAUUGAAAACAUCUGACUGCCAGUAUAGAAUAUGACUCUUAAGGUAAUGUGGUUUUUCCACUUUAGAGACCCCUUCAUACUAGAAGUUCUUGGGUCCCCACUCAGUAUAAACUUUAAGACCAUCUCUGGGAUUAUUUUCUUCUCAGUAUGAUACCUUGUGGGUGUGUGGGUGUGAGCUGCAAGUCGCACAAUUUUCUAAGGAGGAGGGAAGGGCUGACAUGCAAGGGAGGGGAAGGAGGCAAUGUUAAUGUUCAGGACUCCUUUUGUGUGCCCACUUUGGAAAUACUUCUCCUUAUCUUUCAUUCAGAAUGCAGGGGAUAAGGCAAAAGUGCAGGCCACAACUGAGAGAUUUUGAAUUAUGCAUUAAGCUGAUAAUGCCCCAGAAUGCAAUCUUAUGUCAAUAAAUAACUAGGCUGGUAGGAGGAAGGAGGUCACUUUACUUGUGUGGAGGGCACCACAUAGGGAGAGAAUAGAGGAAACCUAGGUGAAGGGUGAGAGGGAGUUCACAUACUUUAGCUUGCUCUGAUGAAGAAGUAAGAAGAGUAAGUUAAUAUUGAAAUUAUUUCCGAAUGCUUAUUUGCUUUUAAAUUGAUUUAACCAAGAUAAAAGACUCUCCAGUGUGGGCCCUAUGUGCCCAAGUUUGCAUUUGGGGCAGGGUUAGCCCUUCUGUGGAACCUUAUGCAAAGAAAUUCUGUCUAGGGGAGAAAUUAAUUUGAAUCCUUUAAUGGGACCUAUAAACUCUUUAAAAAAGCAAGAUUUUUCAUGAUGAAAUUUGGCAAAAUACAUAAUAGGACACUCAGGGUUUUGUUUCACUGGGUAUCCUUCCCUUAUUAAUAUGUAGUAGAAAUGUGGUAGAAGUUAAGCUAGUGGAAGGAGCAGAAGGAUUAAAAGAAUGCUAUAAAUUACCUCCCUGGCCCAUGAUACAGCACUGCCCAAUGCUGAUGAAAACUAAGUCUUUAAUCUUUGCAUUGCUUCUCCUGCUUUAGUCAGAUGCAUCAAUGAAUGUGACCAUUUUCUAGUAUGAGAAAUUAAUCGUGGUGCAAGGACACACACACACACACACACACACACACACGCACAAUUUAAAAACAUAUUUAGUUUAUUUACCAAGAAAAUGGAAAAUGUGCAGGGUGGAGACACUGGCCGAUUAACAUCUGAAUUUUUGCCUCUUCUUUUCUCACACACAAAAAAAGAGAAGAAAUUACACAUAUAUUUCAUCAUUUUCCUACUUUUAGACAGCAAUUUGAAGCCUCUGGUUCUGCAAUCAGAAGCCUGUGCUUAGACUCUGCAGCAGUGAAUGCGUUUGGUCAAUUCUAUAUGCACACAUGGAUAUAUACACACCAACAAAUUAAAAAUGAAUCUGGGAAGACACCCCGCUCCUUAGAGAGUCAUAUCAAGCAGUGUUUAAAUUAAAUAAUUUGCAGAGUAUGGGGAAUAAAGCCUUUGUAGCAGUAUCUGGAGGUUAUCUUCCCUUGGGAAAUUCCUGUCAUUUAGUCCAAUCUGGUGCAUGCCAGUGAGACACACAUUCAUGCAUACACACACUGGUAGAUAGAUUUUAUUUCAUAUCUAAAUUAUAUUUAUUUCUUGGGGUUAUCUGCCAUUUUGUGUUCAUGUCCAGCCAAAAAAGAAGUGAACCUCUUGUGAAGGGUUUAGGUCACUAAGAUCAAAACAAAGGAGAGGAAAGGUUGUUAGUGAGUAGAAAUAAGGGAAGGCUUACUUCUCCUGGCAUAAAGCCAGUUAUCCCACAGCUCCUGGGGGAGCAUGGCUGUGAUCGGGAGUAUGUUUCAGUUCAAGUCAGUGUUUGAUUUUGCUCCCAGCCCAUUGACUGAUGGCAAGCAAAGAGGAGACAUGGCUGUGAUGAGGUAAUGUGAGUGGGUAAACCACACGUAGCAGAAAUUAGUUGAUUUCUUGCUACUUGUUCUACUCAACCAAUAUGAAAUCUGAACUGUAUGUUAAGUAGAAGUUUUCCGGUUAGAACCACAUGCCAUGUUUCUAUUUAACUCAUUUCUGUAUCGUUGGACGUAUUCAUAGCCUAAUCAGCACACCUGUCCUGUGGAGAACUCAAGGCCAAUCACAAUAGGGAUGGUGAAAGAUGUUAAGAGGAGGUGGGAGAGAAAGAAAGAGAGAGAAAGAAGGUACCUAACUAUGUUAUCUAUGUAUAGGGAAUUUUUAAAAUCCUGGGUAUGAAAAUAGAGGUAUUUUCAAGAGCAAAUAGUUAUUUUCCUCAGGGCUAAGAUUAUCUUUGUACCCCUUAGACUCCCACUUUAAUCCCUUAAAAAAAUUCUUAUAAAUUACUAGUAGCCUAUAUAGAAACCAUGAGUGAGGGCAAAAUUCCUGGUGACUCCUGCAUUCUGGCUCCCCUCUGUUUCUUUGACAAAAUACUGGCGUUAUUUUUCUAGGACUGCCAUAACAAAAUGCCAGACUGGGUGGCCUAAAUAACAAAGACAUAUUUUCUCACAAUUUUGGAGGCUGGAAGUCUGAGAGGGAAGUUGGUUAGCAGGGUUGAUUUUUUCUGAGACCUCUCUCAUUGGUGUGCAAAUCUCCAUCUUCUCCCUGUGUCUUCAUACGGUUGUCCUUCUGCAUGUGCAUGUGUCUGGUGUCCCUUUGUGUCUUCCUAUAAGGACACCAGUCCCGCAUUUCCUUAAAGACAUUAUCUCCAAAUAUGAUUACAUUCUGAGGGGGUUAGGACUUUAACAUAUGAAUUUGGGAGUAUGUUCAGCCUAUAACAACUGGUCUUCCAAAAUAUUCGGUAGAAUGAUAAUUUUCCCAUGCAUUUAAUCUAGCUUACUUAGAGAUUCAUUUCCCUAACUUUCAUUCUCUUCUGCAUGUUUAUUUAGAACUGAUUGAAGGUAAUUUAUUACGAUUAAUGUAGGUGGUUGUGUUUUGUUAUCUUGAGAAGUGAAGGUUGGGGAAAGAGAAAAAAGCUUAUUUAAGACAACAAACAAACCUUGUCUGAAUUUUUUAAAAAGAGGAAGUCAUCUCUUUUUCCUACUAGAACAAAAUGGCAGCAGGCAGACAGUUUUAUCACGGAGACUAAAAGAACAGGUUUUCGAGUCAGCUGCACACGCGUGCUAACUCUGACCUUGAGCAAGUUGCUCAGCCACACUGUUCCCCUGAUUGAUUCUGCCUCUCUAUACUGUGGAUAGAAGUAGAACAGUUUCAGAGGUUGCUGGGAGGAUUAACUGAGAUGAUAUGUGUAAAGUGCAUGGCAUAUUGCCUAACUCACAGUAAAUGCUUAUUAUGGUCUGAAUGUUUAUGUCCUUCUAAAAUUCAUACGUUGAAGCCCUAACCCCGAUGUUAUGGUAUUUGGAGGUGGGACCUUUGGGAAGUAAUUACGUUUCGAUUAGAUCAUGAGAGUGAGACUCUUGUGCUAGGGUUAGUGCCCUUACAAGAAGAGAAAAAGAUUUCUCUCCCUUUGGGGGCACUGCCAACGAAAGACAGACAGAAGGCAGCUAUCUGCAAGCCAGGAAGAGGGCCUCACCAAAUACUGACUCUGCCCACACCUUGAUUUUGAACUUCCCAGCCUCCAGAACUAUGAGAAAUAAGUUUCUGUUGAUUAGCCACCCUGUCUAUAAUAUGUUGUUACAGCAGCCAUCGCAGACUAAGAGAGUGCUUAAUAAAUACUUACCGAACGAUAAUAAUAAUCACCACAGAUACUUACAGAAUGCUGUACUGUUCACGGGUCUUGACAAGAUAAUAUACCCUUUCUGAAUUUCCUCUGAUUUUAGAUUGUUAGAGGUGGAGCUAGGAACAAGUUCUUUUUCUGUUAGUUUAAGUGGACUUUGAUCGAGAGCUGGACUUACAAAGUAUAGGAAAAGGACAAAUAGGCUUUAGUGUUACCUUCUGUCCUCCAGUGAUCCAAAGAUCCUUAGUCAAAAAGUAGAGCAGUGAGUCAGAGGGACAGUGGAAAAGAGGGGCUGGGGUCUUCUCACAGCCUGAGUGUCACCAGGAGCCUGGCUUGUCCUCCUCUGGAGAAUCUCAGCCUAUUUUUUCAGCAUAAGUGGCACACACCAGGUGUGUGUCCUCUGAGCUCUCAGAGGGACAAGCCACCACACCCUCUCCUUGUCCACUGGGCACAGUGGCCCAGCCUGAGUCUGGGAGUCCCAGACACAUCAGGGACCACAGGACACUUAGGACUGGCUGCGAGGCAGAGGUUACCUACAGUUCUUUGUAAAAGGUGUCAUUGUGUGCCAAACACGGUCUUACGAUUAAGUGAAGUUUUGCCAGCGAUACUCAAAAUGCUGUACAGUAAUCAACUGGCAUCAGCCAGCACUUUACUCUCAAGGCCCUCAGGGCUCAACUACUUUAGAAAUAGUCUGGUAACUAGGGAAAUAUCCAUUGUUUUAAAGUUGCAUUUCCUUAAGGAGCCUAUGGUCUCAAAAAGGGGAUUGUCCCAUGAAAAGCUACUUUAAAAUACAGUGCUUAGUUUUGAGAGAAAUCUUGAGAAGUAGAAAGACAAUUAGAAUUGAAUACAAAAACAAGGUGUUGGAGCUAUGUUAAAAUAAUCUACUAAUAGCUGAUGUUUAUUGAGCAUUUUCCUGGGAGACACCAUGCUAGGCUCUUUAUAUAUACAUAUAUUUUACCUUAUUUAAUCUUCUCCAUAAUCCUAUGAGAUAGGUAUAUGAUCUCUAGUUAAUAGACAAAUAAUGAACUAAAAUAGGAUUGCCAGGAUUCAAACCCAUCUAUUUGGGAUAUUUAUCUGGGCUCCAUUGCAACCAAUGGCAGUGGUACCUGUAUUUAGAUGAUGAUAGGAAUCACCUGGAGCUUCUGAAAACAAAACAAAACACUUUAAUACUGUACCUAAUUGUAAAAAUAUGAAAAUAUAACAUGAGAUGAUUUGUAUAAUUGUCAGUUGAGAAAAACUAUUCUAAGGAACAGACAGACAAUCUCUGUAUAUUUGAAUUAUAUACAAAGUUAAAAGUCAAGCAGAGAGCUUUUAGAAAGUAGUAAGAAAAAGAUCAAACAAUACAAAAAUGGGUAUAGAAUAUAAACAGGAAGUUCAUGGAAGAAAUGAGAAUGACUAAUAAGCAUAUGAAAGGAAGCUGAAAAUAAAAAUAAGAUGUUCUUUUUAAUAUGUUAAAUUGGUAAACUUUUUAAUUAUGAAAAAUAUUUAGCAUAAGUGAGUUGUGGAGAAAUGGGCCCUUUUGUACGUUUUGUAGGUAAGAGUAGAACAUGAUACAACUUUUUGGAAGGGCAAUUUUUCAGUAUCUGUUAAAAUUUUUAAUUCACAUAUGUUUUAUACAAAAAUUCCAGUUCUAGGAAUCUAUACUGCAAAAAAAAGAAAAACCAUGUAAAUGAAGAUACAGUAUAAGGAUGCCCAUAGAAACGUUUUAUUUUGCAUGUUUAAAACCAUCAUAUAAGUUAGGACAAUGGUAAAAUCAAGGUAAAGGCUAAAAUAUUUAUGAUUAUAUAUACUAUGGAAUACUACACAGCCAUUAAAAAUAAUAAGAAAAGUAGAUAAUUUUAGAUAGAUCUAGAUAUAAAUCAGAAUAACAUGAAGUGAAAAAGUCCAUUUGCAGAACAGUAUGUGUAGUCUAAUUUUGAUUAUGAAAAGUGCAUACACAAAUAAAAUAAAAGUGAAUAUGUAAAGAAACUUAAAGACACAUCUAUAUUUAAUAGCAAUUAACUCUGAUGGAUAGCUGUUGAAGGCAUAGCAAGAACAUUCUUUCAUAUUCUUAUUCGUAUUGAUAUGGAGUGUGUUGAUUUUUGGCCAUAAACAUAUAUAUCUUUCAUUUAAACUUUUAUAAAGUGACCCCCUGAGUGAUUGAAAAUAUUAUUGACUCUAGAAAAUAUUAUUGACUUUUAUAUCGAUAAAUAAAAAUAUCUGCAUGGAUAAAAAGGUGGGCUUAGACAGUGGCUUUUUAGGUGCUAAGUUUUCUUUCUGCUUUUCAUAUUUUAUUUGCCAGAUAUUCUAUAGUGAGUACUAUUGCUCCACCCAAAAUGUGUUGAAAACAAAAUCCCAAAGACUGAGAUCCAGGGGUCAGCAUUUUAUGAAGCUCUUGGGAUAAGUCUGGCAGUUAGUUGGGUUUGAGAGUAACUGACAAAGGCUUCACAUCUCUAAAGGAUUUAAAGACAACAAGAAGCUUAGAAUUUGAAUAUGCCUAGAAAGAGUGAUUUCACUUAAAUUUUGCUUGAAGAUAAAUUCUAGAGAAGUUAAUUGUUUCCUUCCUAUUCAUGAAUACUGAUUCAGCACUCCUUUUUGGCUUCCAGAUUCUCAAUCUACUGUGGUGAUGCUAUUACUUUGAAUCCUCGUAAAAGGAGAAGACCGAGACCUGGCUCAUGAAGUGGUAUUGAUUUUCUGAGUUCCUGCUCGAGUUGCCAAAGAUACAACACUGUUGUUAAGGAGAGGAGAUGCCUUGGCCUUCAAUAUCACAGGAGGGUUCCUCGGACUUACCAAUUUGGGCUUCUUCCAGUGCUAAAAAACGAUUACAAAUAUGAAACAGAUUUUACUACUGGACUUGAAUACCAUAUUAAAAACAAGAAGAUCAUCAAAAUAAUUGAAAAAGAUCCUCACCAAAGAAUAGAUACAAUGUGAAUGGCAAGAUAUCAAGGAGGUUUUGGUAUUUGGUCUGACACAUAACAGACCCUGAAAUGUUGGUGGAGUGAAUGAGGAAUCUCUCACGCUGCAUCCUGGGAACUAUACUUAGACAGCAAUGCAAUGUGUGUGAGCCCUGGAAUCCUGCUCCAUAUGGAAAUUUCAGAAUUUGUUGAUUGUGGACAAUAAACAGAGUCCUCCAGCUUUGUGCUUUUAUCCUGGUGGUGGCCCUCAAGAAUAAGCCAAGCGUCCGGUUUCAUCUCAAUGCAUUUUCGUCUUAAAGAGCAUAGAGCAUACUGUUUUAAGAUCCUGAAUGCUGAGAGUGGCCUCUUCCUUCUUCGCCAUGUCCUGAACUCCGUUUGCCACCUCCUGCUAUUCCUGGACAUGAGGAAUCUGGAAGAAUACGCCGUAUCUGGAACGCCAAGCAAGCCCUUAACAAAUAUGUGUUGAAGCCCUUUGAAUGAACUCCAAGUGCCUUUCCAAGAAAAAAAAAAGGAGAAGAAGGCACUUUCAACAAGUGGACACACUGCUUCAAUCAGUAGAUUUUUGCUUUUCUCUUUCCUGGAACGAUUGCUGUUUUUUUGCUUCCUUGCCAUUUCAACAUGUUCCUUGAGAUUGUGGUAAGGUAGUGAGCUCUGAGCAUGUGACAAGCAUUAGAAGCAUUCAAAUGGAGAUGCAUCUUCCAGAUAAACAGGAGCCCAGGAGCUGAUCUCCAUGCAGAAGAUGAUGAGUUGAGAUCCUGCCCAGGAAUAAGUGUCGGACCAGCUGCCUGGAGUCCGACGUUAGCCGGAGCGAGCCUAAUUACCAGUAGGCAAGAGGGCCCGAUGCAACAACGUGCUACACACACGGCCUUCCUCUCUGCUCUCAUUCGCUUCUGGUUUCAGAGGAGCCUGGAAUUUGGUUGGAGGCAAACAAUUGCGUUCCCUCUGCUCGAUAUGCUAGGAUGAAAUAUGAUUGCAUUUCCCCCAGGGAACCUCCAGUUGAAAAGGGCCAGUCUGGAAAAGAGUGUGCCAAUGAUCAAAGUGGCCACAUAUGAUGGUCCCAGACUGAUGCCUGUGUUCCCACUGAAGGAGACUUUCUUCCCGGGAUGAGAUCCAGCCUCCCCUCUAAAGUUCUUAGCACGCCAGGGUGAAGAAGUUCUGGAAGUGUUCUGUGAAGUUGCAUCUUGAAGAAUGAGGAACGCAGAGGGGCCUCUCAGACCACAGAGGAUGGCAGUGCUGGGAAUGACGUCUGGAACUGGUCAUUGGCACCCAAGGGUGGAGAGAGCUGGAAUCCACACCACCAUUCCCUUCUUUGUGCAUGUUGAGACCUCCUGUGACUUCAGAAUCUUUGUCAGCAUAGUGUUACAAGAAGCAGUUAAUUGAGGUUGGCCAGAGCAACAAUGCUUCUUUGGCACUCUUGGUAUUUAUCGUAGGAGAGUAUGGUAAAUAGUGCUGGAAGUAGAAUGUGCCACUUUCUGGAUUAUUUUCUUCUAGUUGAUGAGUAGGAUCUCUUCCAAACCUUGGGAAAGACUUGUGCUUUAUAGAUAUUUUUUUUCUUCCUAAUUAUAUUCCACUACCAGCUUUUCAGCCUGUUUACAUGGGUAUGUAAAAAUACAGAACUAGCUUUCAUUUAAAGCUAGAAAAAAAAAAAAACAAAAAGAAAAACAUAAAAGUAAAAUACGUACUAUAGGAUCUUCAGAGCUCCUGCCAGUGGACCUCAAACUUGGAUUUCAGUUUUUUAGCUCUCUACAAAGAAUGGCCUUCACAAGCCCAUCCAAUGACUGCAACAACAAAGACAGGGCCCCACAAUACUUGAGGUCAUCGAGGGGCAUCAUGGCACAUUUGGGGCCACCUUAACUUCGUCUCUGCGCUCAGACUGUCCUUGAGUAAUCACUGAACUCCCUUUCUGUCCCGUGGGAAAUGACACCUUAACGCCUUCUUUCCAAAUAGGAAACUUCCACCUUCAUGGAAGCGAUAUCAAUUCUACUCAAGGUAAAUUCUAUAAUUUUUCAAAAGUCUUUUGUUUAAUAUGGAAACUUCAAGCAGAGGACCCAGGGCAUUUUCUUUCAUCAAUGUGAUUCUAAUUUUAUCAGAGCACUAAAAAGAAAUCUACUUGGCUUUUUCUUGUCCAGUACUCCACUUGCUCUGAAGCACAUUCAAAAGCCACCUCUCUGAUCUGAAGACGUCUCCGCAGAAUUAUGUAAUUGGACCAACGGUUGCGGGUUCCCCACACUCUUGCUACUUCGCAUUAUUGCAGAGCAGACUACUGUUUUGCAGACCUUCCUUAUUGCGUAAAUGGCUACAUUAUCACUGUGUACACAUUAGGACAAGCAAAUGGGCCCCUUAAGGCAAAUAAGGGUUCAAAUAACCCAGACAAGGUAGCCCAACUGAAUUGAGGAUUCACCCUUGUUACAACCUCAUUGCUUUAUGGCACAUGAACUAGUGGAAGGGACAGACUGCUUCAAGUGUGUUUCUACUGAUCCUGCUGGCAAAUCACAGCUUUAUUACAGUAAUGAGCCUGACCAUAUUUCUGUGCUUAUGCAUAUUAGGCACCAAAUGUAUUUUCCGGCCUGCCAGCCUGUGGUAGUAACUAACAUGAGCAAUUUGUCCUGGGUUGCAGUGUGUGUGCAUGCAUUAGGUAUGAGCAUGUUAGUUGCUUUGGGGUAUAAAAUACUACAUGUUUCAUCAUGCGUAUUUUUAUAUGCACAACUUAACUGUACGCAAAAUAGCUUGGCAAUUAACCAACACAACUUAUUAGUUUACUACAAGAUUAUUGCAUAAAUAUGUGAACUGGGGACAGCCACAAUUUCAAUUUGGCAAUAUUAAAAAUUUUGUUGGAUUAUUAACUAUCUGAAGAAAUAUCUCCCCCCUCUAUGGUAUAAGUGUUAAGGUUCUUUAAAAAAAUAUCUCGAUUCUUCUCCCAUUUUCAUUUCCAUAAAUAACCCUGAACGGGACCCUUUUCGGGAGGCUGUGGGAUUUGAGCCGGUGAAUUCCCCCAUACUCAUUGUGAGCUGACAUUUGGCCUUUGACCCCGUCAGCUUUCAGGCGAAGGUGAAUGAUCAUUAUUACGAUUUCUUCCUCAGGAUCACAUUUUAUGUAUGCCAGUUAUUGGGUCCAGGAUUAUUAAAAAGGAACAUCAGCAUACUUCAGCUCAACCGCUAAGAACAGUUAUAUGUUUCGUCUUUCUGUUGACCACUGGGAUCGCAGAGCUCAGUGCUGUUGGCUUGUGUGACUGCCUUGGAGGCGUACAGGACUUACUCCAAAAGUGCAGACACACGGAACCACCUCUCCCUGAACUCUUAAUUAAAAUGAACUCUUUCUCCCGCUUCGCUGCAAAACAAAGAAACGAACAAAACAUUAAGUACGGAAUACAGGAUUGGUACAAAAUAAAGGGUUAGCCUGGUGGGAGGCUGCUGCCAGGGGAAUGGCUGCUCUUGCUACUUCCGCACGUGUCACAUGUCGUAAGGUGUCAGAGAAUUACUUUUUUCCUCCAUUCAGGUUGGAUUUAUGUAAAUGACUGCACAGGACAGGUGCCUUUAUUUAGUUGCUACUAAAGCCGGAAUCAUGUUGUACAAGAGCUGAUAACAUGAAAUAACACGAAAUAAGUGGGCUUAUCCCUUCUGAAGCUUGUUUUACAGUACUGGUAUUUCUCUUUAGCAAAUCCUGCUGCGUCUUUAAGUAAUACGAUAAAACAACAUAAAUGUCUUUGUGGCUAAAACUGAUUGUUUCAGGAGGAACAUGGCUGUUUUAUUCUUGUCUUUUAUCUCCUCUACACUGAAUUUUUGAAAACAUGACCAGCUCCCUGGCCUGUAUGUAUAUAAAUAGGCUAUUUGCGUAGAGACCCCACAAUUAUUCAUGCAUCAAAGAGAGGGAGAAUGGGAGGGAACCCCAUGCUGAUAAUAGCAGCACCCCAAAUCAAUAUAAAACCAAGACCGAAAUGUGCCUUUUGCAGUCCUGUCACAGAUUAAUAUGGUUCAUGAUAGAUACUUAGUUCUCUGACAGUUUCCCCUGCACCUUCACUGGGAAGUUGAUAGAAAUUACUCCAGCUGAAUGCUUAAAGCAGAUGUUAUCCCAUUAAUUAGCUCUGGACCCGGGUACACUCGAGACUUUCCCAUUUUCAGGCCGAAAGGAAUUGGUCCCAGUGAGCGUGCUCUAUAUCCACAUUUAGUAUCAUCUCAUAAACAGCAGUGAAAACACAGCAGGCCCUUGAUGAAGAUCCAUUAGCUUAUUUCUAAUUUAAAGUUAUGUUGCUUAACCUUAAUGUAAUUGGUCACCGGUGGCCAACUGUUUGUAUAGUGUGUUGAUGACCAAAGAGAUGUAAUAAAUUAUAAAACUCUCUGCUUAAAUGGAGGGAACGACUGUUUUGUUAAAAGCUUUGCAUGUAAUAAUGGUAAAAUAAUUACACCUCAAGCCGAAUAACUGUGAAGCUGUUAAUACUAACAACAGAGUUGUUCUCAGGAUAGCUCGGUUCAUCCCCAUUUAAAACCAGUACGUGAACCUGGCUCUUGUAUUUAGCAAAAGAGUAACUUGGAAAGUUCAGUCUCACCCUGAUUAAAAUAAAUGGGUAAGUCGUCCUGUUGUCUUAGUUGGGAAUGGUGGUGAUGGGUAGUAGGGUGGUGGGGUGAAUUAAAAUAACCAAUUGCUAUGGUUAACUAGGAGACAAAAAGCACAAACCGGUUCGUAGUCACUGCCAGACACGUCUUUAAAGAAGACUUGAUUAGCUGGUGGAAAAACUGGGAUAAUCAUCAAAUAUGAAAGUAAUUGACACAACUUUAAUGUUUAAUAAUGAAUAGCCCGCCAGAGGCAAAAUAAAGGGAAACGGUCUUCUUUUCUCAGAACAAGUUCUGACUUAAAAUUUCUUAGGCCAAAUACAGAGAGCGAUUGCUCGAGGUUUGUGAACUACAAUUCCAAGAUUAUAAUUAAAGUUAUAAAUAUGGUUAAAAUGAAAUCACACGAUUAACAAUAUUCAAUCUAUCAGGGGUAAUGAUAUUCAUUCCAUAGGUUUUCUGUAUGUCACUGUGAAAAAUCUAGUCCCCCCUCUCCCUGUUAAAGGCUUGUGACUUAUUUUGAAAUGCAAAAGUGAAAUAAACAGAGUCGUGCUUCUGUCUGGAUAUGCGCUUUUUUUUUUUUUUUUUUCUGUCCUGGUUGGACUGUGUUCACUAGCUUCGCUGUAACAAGUAAGAAAAGUAAAGUUUUUGCUUUUCUCGAAA
Acinonyx jubatus (cheetah) is the source of this 16056-nucleotide long non-coding RNA. RefSeq lists it as uncharacterized. Lineage: Eukaryota; Metazoa; Chordata; Mammalia; Carnivora; Felidae. The transcript has 11 exons. The record is from RefSeq and is a predicted model, not a curated record.